RNAcentral lists this ribosomal RNA (274 nucleotides) under uncultured Staphylococcus sp. RNAcentral's name for it is "partial 16S ribosomal RNA". It matches the Rfam family "Bacterial small subunit ribosomal RNA", at positions 89 to 354 of the family's 1533-position model. The record is from RNAcentral. Lineage: Bacteria; Bacillati; Bacillota; Bacilli; Caryophanales; Staphylococcaceae.
ACGUUAGCGGCGGACGGGUGAGUAACACGUGGGUAACCUACCUAUAAGACUGGGAUAACUUCGGGAAACCGGAGCUAAUACCGGAUAAUAUUUCGAACCGCAUGGUUCGAUAGUGAAAGAUGGUUUUGCUAUCACUUAUAGAUGGACCCGCGCCGUAUUAGCUAGUUGGUAAGGUAACGGCUUACCAAAGGCUACGAUACGUAGCCGACCUGAGAGGGUGAUCGGCCACACUGGAACUGAGACACGGUCCAGACUCCUACGGGAGGCAGCAGAG